RNAcentral lists this unclassified non-coding RNA (356 nucleotides) under uncultured fungus. RNAcentral describes it as "partial contains ITS1, 5.8S rRNA and ITS2". Lineage: Eukaryota; Fungi. The record is from RNAcentral.
ACGCAUAUUGCGCCUUAGUCUCGACGAGAGCAGGUCUACCUCAUCGUCAGUAUAACCCCUAACUCCAUCCCCUUUGGGGACGCGCUUUGCUUUGUCAAGGCCUCGGGGUGGAUCUGGCUUUCCCACUUCAUCACGGCCUUCGCUGAAUGCCGCCAGUGGAUUGGGUUGGCUGAAGCACAGAGGCUAGAGCAAGGACCCGCGAGGGUAUAAAACUGGAUAGGUAGAUAGGCCUUAGGCUUACUACACGUGUUGUUAGCUGUGGUCUCUGCUGGCGGCCAAUGCAGAAAAGCUGCGUUUUCGGACGUGGCUCCUUAUCGUUCGACCUGAGCUCAGGCAAGGCUACCCGCUGAACUUAA